AAAUUGAAGAGUUUGAUCAUGGCUCAGAUUGAACGCUGGCGGCAGGCCUAACACAUGCAAGUCGAACGGUAACAGGAAGCAGCUUGCUGCUUCGCUGACGAGUGGCGGACGGGUGAGUAAUGUCUGGGAAACUGCCUGAUGGAGGGGGAUAACUACUGGAAACGGUGGCUAAUACCGCAUAACGUCGCAAGACCAAAGAGGGGGACCUUCGGGCCUCUUGCCAUCAGAUGUGCCCAGAUGGGAUUAGCUUGUUGGUGAGGUAACGGCUCACCAAGGCGACGAUCCCUAGCUGGUCUGAGAGGAUGACCAGCCACACUGGAACUGAGACACGGUCCAGACUCCUACGGGAGGCAGCAGUGGGGAAUAUUGCACAAUGGGCGCAAGCCUGAUGCAGCCAUGCCGCGUGUAUGAAGAAGGCCUUCGGGUUGUAAAGUACUUUCAGCGGGGAGGAAGGUGUUGUGGUUAAUAACCACAGCAAUUGACGUUACCCGCAGAAGAAGCACCGGCUAACUCCGUGCCAGCAGCCGCGGUAAUACGGAGGGUGCAAGCGUUAAUCGGAAUUACUGGGCGUAAAGCGCACGCAGGCGGUCUGUCAAGUCGGAUGUGAAAUCCCCGGGCUCAACCUGGGAACUGCAUUCGAAACUGGCAGGCUUGAGUCUUGUAGAGGGGGGUAGAAUUCCAGGUGUAGCGGUGAAAUGCGUAGAGAUCUGGAGGAAUACCGGUGGCGAAGGCGGCCCCCUGGACAAAGACUGACGCUCAGGUGCGAAAGCGUGGGGAGCAAACAGGAUUAGAUACCCUGGUAGUCCACGCCGUAAACGAUGUCUACUUGGAGGUUGUGCCCUUGAGGCGUGGCUUCCGGAGCUAACGCGUUAAGUAGACCGCCUGGGGAGUACGGCCGCAAGGUUAAAACUCAAAUGAAUUGACGGGGGCCCGCACAAGCGGUGGAGCAUGUGGUUUAAUUCGAUGCAACGCGAAGAACCUUACCUGGUCUUGACAUCCACAGAACUUUUCAGAGAUGGACUGGUGCCUUCGGGAACUGUGAGACAGGUGCUGCAUGGCUGUCGUCAGCUCGUGUUGUGAAAUGUUGGGUUAAGUCCCGCAACGAGCGCAACCCUUAUCCUUUGUUGCCAGCG
Molecule: ribosomal RNA, 1133 nt
Filed under: Salmonella enterica subsp. enterica serovar Mbandaka
Lineage: Bacteria; Pseudomonadati; Pseudomonadota; Gammaproteobacteria; Enterobacterales; Enterobacteriaceae
Description: bacterial SSU rRNA
Rfam family: Bacterial small subunit ribosomal RNA
Source: RNAcentral